This 251-nucleotide ribosomal RNA is filed under the name uncultured prokaryote. Its description in RNAcentral is "partial 16S rRNA". It matches the Rfam family "Bacterial small subunit ribosomal RNA", at positions 525 to 775 of the family's 1533-position model. The record is from RNAcentral.
ACGUAGGGUGCGAGCGUUGUCCGGAAUUACUGGGCGUAAAGAGCUCGUAGGCGGUUUGUCACGUCGUCUGUGAAAUCCUAGGGCUUAACCCUGGACGUGCAGGCGAUACGGGCUGACUUGAGUACUACAGGGGAGACUGGAAUUUCUGGUGGAGCGGUAGAAGGGAAAGAUAUCACGAAGAGGACCGAUGGCGAAGGCAGGGCUCAGGAUAGUAACUGACGCUGGUGAGCUAAAGUCAUGGUACCGAACAG